GUACAAUAUAAGUGAUCAUAUAUAAAUUUCUUUUUGCUUAUUUUGUAUAGCGAAAUAUAUUGAUUGACAGCAAUUAUUAUUCAGUAUCUUUUUUAUUUAUGUUUUUGCAGGAUGUUGGCAAAAUUUUUGAACAGUUACCUGCUUUGCAGGUUCUCAGCUUAUCUAACAACUUAAUGUCACCAUAUAAAUCGGAAACUGGAAAGCAUCUGUAUUCUAGUUUUAAAUAACACUGGUGUAGAUUGGGAGCAGGUUGAAUUGCUUAGACAAUCAUUGACAACUAUUAAGAGCUACAUCUUAUCGGAAACAAUAUAAGCAGAGUACUGGUCUCCUCCACUGGCAGCGCCUCUGAUGGAAGCUCUGUUGCAAAGGGUGAAAGAACCCACAAAUUCUCACUGGGAGUUCCUCUCUACUAAAUUGCUCAAUUCUGAUGUAAACUUCUUGCCGUAUUUUUGUCAUUUUUGAUUUUAUACCUGUUUAAGACUGUCUUCUGGUUCAAACGCAGGUUGCUCCUCUGUCCGUUGCUCCCCUCCGGUUCCUUCCCGGGCUUCAAUGACCACCUGAUUGGGUACCGUUAACAUCUGGUCUCCCUUUUGCUCGAUUGCACCUUCGUGAUGUGUAGGCCUUCUUCCAAUUCUUCUAACUUUUUCUGCUUCUCUUCUCAAUUGGGUUUCAAUUGUCGCUGGUAAUUUCACUGACCAAUUGCUUGAAAGUAUACCUGUAGCUCUUUGUGUUGCUAUGAGAUGCGCUAAAUGAUUUCCCUCCCUUGGAGUCCAGGUUAUCCCGACAUCCGCUUCAAGACUGGAGAAAGCCCUGAUUUCUGUUGCUGAUCCUGUGAUAAAUUUUCCUUGCCAAUCUCUAAGGACCGUUGCAAUUGCUCCCUUCCUGUUAGAUUUUCUGAAGCUUGCAUCCACAUUGAUUUUCAACCAAUCCCUUGGUGGAGCCCUCCAGUUUCAUUUUGAGAUUCUUCAUCAAUCUCAACUCAAGGGAGAUGCGAGUUGGUGGAAUACAUGUUCACUGCAAGGAAUUGAGACCUCCCAUGGGAUGAGAUGAUAUCCACCUCCCAUGAGAUGAUCAUAUCCAAACUCUUCCUCAACUUCACUCAACUCUUAGAAUGAAGCUUGGUUCAAAUAUGAAAUAGGAAUCACAUAACACUUUUGAUUAUCUCCGACAUACACUGCAAGAUAACCCUUUGGGACUUGUACAGAUUUUGAAAUUGCUUGCUUAGCUGAGAAUGAUGCCUUUCCCCAUUUUUC
This is a non-coding RNA of Arachis ipaensis, 1253 nucleotides long. The record is from RefSeq and is a predicted model, not a curated record. NCBI's taxonomy places the organism in Eukaryota, Viridiplantae, Streptophyta, Magnoliopsida, Fabales, Fabaceae.